This 1000-nucleotide ribosomal RNA is filed under the name Microbacterium hydrocarbonoxydans. Its description in RNAcentral is "bacterial SSU rRNA". It matches the Rfam family "Bacterial small subunit ribosomal RNA", at positions 56 to 1066 of the family's 1533-position model. The record is from RNAcentral. Lineage: Bacteria; Bacillati; Actinomycetota; Actinomycetes; Micrococcales; Microbacteriaceae.
UGCAGUCGAACGGUGAACCAGGAGCUUGCUCUUGGGGAUCAGUGGCGAACGGGUGAGUAACACGUGAGCAACCUGCCCCUGACUCUGGGAUAAGCGCUGGAAACGGCGUCUAAUACUGGAUACGAACCACGAAGGCAUCUUCAGUGGUUGGAAAGAUUUUUUGGUUGGGGAUGGGCUCGCGGCCUAUCAGCUUGUUGGUGAGGUAAUGGCUCACCAAGGCGUCGACGGGUAGCCGGCCUGAGAGGGUGACCGGCCACACUGGGACUGAGACACGGCCCAGACUCCUACGGGAGGCAGCAGUGGGGAAUAUUGCACAAUGGGCGGAAGCCUGAUGCAGCAACGCCGCGUGAGGGAUGACGGCCUUCGGGUUGUAAACCUCUUUUAGCAGGGAAGAAGCGAAAGUGACGGUACCUGCAGAAAAAGCGCCGGCUAACUACGUGCCAGCAGCCGCGGUAAUACGUAGGGCGCAAGCGUUAUCCGGAAUUAUUGGGCGUAAAGAGCUCGUAGGCGGUUUGUCGCGUCUGCUGUGAAAUCCCGAGGCUCAACCUCGGGCCUGCAGUGGGUACGGGCAGACUAGAGUGCGGUAGGGGAGAUUGGAAUUCCUGGUGUAGCGGUGGAAUGCGCAGAUAUCAGGAGGAACACCGAUGGCGAAGGCAGAUCUCUGGGCCGUAACUGACGCUGAGGAGCGAAAGGGUGGGGAGCAAACAGGCUUAGAUACCCUGGUAGUCCACCCCGUAAACGUUGGGAACUAGUUGUGGGGUCCAUUCCACGGAUUCCGUGACGCAGCUAACGCAUUAAGUUCCCCGCCUGGGGAGUACGGCCGCAAGGCUAAAACUCAAGGAAUUGACGGGGACCCGCACAAGCGGCGGAGCAUGCGGAUUAAUUCGAUGCAACGCGAAGAACCUUACCAAGGCUUUGACAUAUACNAGAACGGGCCAGAAAUGGUCAACUCUUUGGACACUCGUAAACAGGUGGUGCAUGGUUGUCGUCAGCUCGUGUC